RNAcentral lists this ribosomal RNA (468 nucleotides) under uncultured bacterium. RNAcentral describes it as "partial 16S ribosomal RNA". It matches the Rfam family "Bacterial small subunit ribosomal RNA", at positions 35 to 507 of the family's 1533-position model. The record is from RNAcentral.
GGGGGGGGGGGGGGGCGGGGGGGGGGGGGGCGGGGCGAGCGGGGGGGCGCUGCGUGGGGUGGGUGCUCGAGUGGCGAGCGGGUGAGUAACACGUGAGUCACCUGCCCUUGACGUUGGGAUAACUUCCGGAACCUGGGGCUAAUCCCGGCUAGGAGCUCCUGCUGCAUGGUGGGGGUUGGAAAGUUUCGGCGGUUGGGGAUGGACUCGCGGCUGAUCAGCUUGUUGGUGGGGUAGUGGCUUACCAAGGCGUUGACGGGUAGCCGGCCUGAGAGGGUGACCGGCCACAUUGGGACUGAGAUACGGCCCAGACUCCUACGGGAGGCAGCAGUGGGGAAUAUUGCACAAUGGGCGGAAGCCUGAUGCAGCAACGCCGCGUGCGGGAUGACGGCCUUCGGGUUGUAAACCGCUUUCGCCUGUGACGAAGCGUGAGUGACGGUAAUGGGUAAAGAAGCACCGGCUAACUACGUG